RNA transcript from Glycine soja, 3710 nucleotides. It is a transcript of the gene named CBL-interacting serine/threonine-protein kinase 8-like, with no coding region annotated. The transcript has 14 exons. The record is from RefSeq and is a predicted model, not a curated record. NCBI's taxonomy places the organism in Eukaryota, Viridiplantae, Streptophyta, Magnoliopsida, Fabales, Fabaceae.
UUAGUUACUUUUUGCUGCUCCUUUCUUCUUUGGUAACCUAGUUUCUCUCAUCUUUCUCACCCUCGCUCUUUCUUUGUUUCCCUCGUUAACCUCUGUCACCCAUCGUUUCCACGCAUUGUCAUGGCUCGUCGUCGUUGUCACCACCGUCCCGGCUGGUCGCCACCGUCACGGCUCGCCAUAGUUGUUGUCACUUGAAACCCAAAUGACGCGCUGUCAGCGUUGUUGUAGGUAUGGUUUCGUGCAUUUGCACUAUUGCACCGUGGCGGUUCACGACAGGCAUGACAGACAUCUAUUUUUGCCUUUCCUUUUAGAAACCCUAUUUAGUUUUAUUUUAGGUACUGCUUGUUUCUCUGUCAUACCACAUUGUUGCUAGUGUUGCUUGUUUCUCUGCUUGUAUUUCUCUGGUUGAAUGGGGAGGGAACCUUUGCGGAAGUGAAAUUCGCUCAGAACACAGGAACUGGCGAGAUCGUGGCCAUGAAGGUGCUCGAUAGAAGCACCAUCAUCAAGCACAAGAUGGUCGACCAGAUCAAGAGGGAGAUUUCGAUCAUGAAGCUAGUUAGGCACCCUGAUGUUGUUCGCCUGCACGAGGUUCUUGCAAGCCGUACUAAGCUUUAUAUUAUAUUGGAGUUCAUCACGGGUGGUGAGUUGUUUGAUAAAAUUAUACACCAUGGACGCCUUAGUGAAGCUGACUCUAGAAGAUAUUUCCAACAGCUUAUUGACGGUGUAGAUUAUUGCCACAGUAAGGGAGUUUAUCACAGAGAUUUAAAGCCUGAAAAUCUUUUACUUGAUUCACUAGGAAAUAUAAAGAUUUUCGAUUUUGGUUUGAGUGCAUUUCCUGAGCAGGGGGUGAGUAUCCUUCGGACAACUUGUGGGACUCCGAACUAUGUGGCUCCUAAGGUACUCAGUCAUAAGAGUUACAAUGGUGCUGUGGCAGAUGUUUGGUCCUGUGGGGUUAUCCUCUUUCUCCUACUGGCUGGAUAUCUUCCUUUUGAUGAGCUUGAUCUAACCACCUUAUAUAGUAAGAUUGAGAGAACAGAGUUUUCAUGCCCUCUUUGGUAUCCAGUGGGAGCAAAAAUGUUGAUAUAUAGAAUUUUGGACCCAAAUCCUGAAACUAUUGAGACAUUCACAAAAGUUGGACAAUUGGAAAAGGCCAGUGAUGCUGAAGAGUAUUCAAGUUGACGGUUCAAAUAGAGGCACUGGUCUGAGUUCUCCUAUUCCUUUUCCAGCACGUCCUCAAAGAAUUUCUACUGGAAGAGAAUUAUUCUACCAGAUCGCCUCUCUCGACGAGCACUAAACCAAGGAUAGCUACACUAUCAAGCAACACCAUGAUAUUUUCUCUGGUUUGGAUCUCUUCCCAUUGAUUUAAAAUAGUGCUCAUUGGUUAUAUAUCUUGAUAUUUAUUUGUUUUAUAUUGACAUAUUGAUGGGUUUGGCAACGGAAAAGUAGUUUCAGAGGAAUGUAUCUUUUGGAAUGAAACCUUUUUCCUCAGUUUUGUAUUGCUAAUGUCUAACUCUCCACAAAAUUUCAUAGUCAUUGAACUUCUAGAACUCAUUUUAGAACCUUGAGUUCACUUUUAACUAAAGUUAAUGCACUUUAAGGCCUUUAAAAGCUUAGAUUAAACCAGUUCCUACAAUCUUGUUUUUAGGCAUAGAAAAUCUGUUUUUAGGAUUUAAGAAUUUUCUCCCAAAGAAUCUUAGAGUUAGCCUUAAAUUACCGAAGUAAGGACUACACUAUAGUGGACUAUAUGUGCCCUUCAAUACAUAUAAAGAAUAAGUUAAAUUUCUAUUUGACAUAGACCAGAAAGUAAAAGUAGCGAUUGAGACAAGAAGCCAGUGGCAUUGAACGAGCCAGUCAUUGCCUUGGUGAAGCAUUUCUUUGAAAACAAGAAGCCAGUGGCAUCUAUCUGUCAUGGCCAACAGAUUUUAUCUGCUGAUGGUGUUCUAAAGGUAUUAUUACUGUAAACUCAAAAGGAACACUGUUUGUUAUGUUUCACAUAUGCUAUCAACCAGUAUUUGAAUUGAAUGGCUAUUGAUAUAGUUUGUCAAAAAAAAGUUGAGGUAAUCUUGAAGUAGAUAUUUUACUACUGUUUUCUUAGAACUCAUGUUCAUUCUACACUUGUUUCUAUUAGUCUUUCCUGUCAAGAAUUGUUUUGUACCAACUAAGAAGACAAAAUUCUUUUGAAUUGUUGGGCUACAAAGCUGUAACUAAUAAGGUUGAGCAAGUACGAAGUUAUCACUUAUCAUUUACUGGAUUACAGUCAUUUCCUUGAAUAAGUCAUGAGCACUUGUUCUAAUUUUGUUUUCCCCGGCUUUUGUCCCCAAAUCACACAUAUUCUGUGCAGGCUUACUUUCUAAUUAGUCUGGAUUAAUGAAAUCUAUGUAUGCAGCCAGCUUUUGUGUGACUUUGUCUCAUGGUGUAUUUUGUGUUCAUGAAAUCAUUACUUUUGUUACUCAGGUUUAUUCUUAUCUUAGCUCUUUCUCACUUAGGCAGUCUUCUAGCUUUUGUAUACCUUGUUUGCUUGCUCGGAUAAUUGGAUUGUAAUCCUUAGUUCCUUGCCCUCUGUCUCCCAUCAAGGAACAUAAAGACUGAUAAUACGUAGAAUUAAGCAUAAAGAAAUUAAAUAUAUGUGGAACAUGACCAAAGAAACAUUGUGUUUUUUAUUUUUCUCAUAAUUGUUUGAUCGCUUCUAAUUCUCCAUCUAUAAUGAAUUGAUUAAAAUCUUUGGUCAUGGGUGCAUCUCUAGAUUAAUUCUACUGUCUCUUGAAAUGCUUAAUGGAUUAUUGAAUUCUAUUAUGAAUAUAUGGAUGGUAUGAUUAGUGAUGAGAUAUUGUAUAUUUUGAUACAAAAUCUGAGACAUUAUUGUUCUUAAACCAGGUAUGUUGGAUUGGGAGAAAAAGAUGAUGACAAGUGUUUUACUACUUUGUUAAGUCAGAAAAUGAUCGUCUUAUGCUUUGGCUAACCGGUGGUCCUGGCUGCUCUUCAUUUUCAGGUCUUGCCUUUCAAAUAGCCCUAUGGAAGAAGCUUGAAGACUCACCCUCUCUUUCAUUGAAAUUCCAAUAUAAUAUGAAUCUUUUGGCAUUCAUUGGAAAAGAUAAGGACCCUAUCUUCUACUCCAAGGAGGCAACGAUCAACGAGUACACAAACAUAACCCUUUUUUAUUACGAUAAUUUGUAAUGCACUAUCGUUCAUGCAUAACACUUUUGUAGGAGAAGUUUGUGCUGCAGGCUCCCGCGUACUUGUUCAGGAAGGGAUCUAUGAUGAAUUUGAGAAGAGGUUGGCAGAGAAGGCAAAAGCUUGGGUUGUUGGGGAUCCCUUUGAUCCUAAUGUUCAGCAAGGGCCUCAGGUUGACAAAAAGCAAUUUGAAAAAAAUUCUUUCCUACAUCGAGCAUGGAAAAAGAGAAGAGGCCACCCUUUUGACAGGGGGCAAAAGAGUGGGUAACAAGGGUUACUACAUUGAGCCAACAAUUUUCUCCAAUGUUAAGGAGGACAUGCUUAUAGCACAAGAUGAAAUAUUCGGUCCUAUGAUAGCACUGAUGAAGUUUAAGAUGAUGGAGAAAUUGAAGGAGAUGUGAAUCAUCACAUUCAAGCAGGAUGAAUGAAAUGGAGAAAUGCAUCGGGGGUGUUAUGUGAUGCAAAUGUACCGAUCAAGCUAAAGGGAAAGUUUUAUCGGACUGCGGUAAGACCGGCAAUUUUGUACGGAACAGAAUGUU